This 564-nucleotide long non-coding RNA is filed under the name Setaria italica (foxtail millet). RNAcentral describes it as "long non-coding RNA (SITA_LNC005128)". The record is from RNAcentral. Lineage: Eukaryota; Viridiplantae; Streptophyta; Magnoliopsida; Poales; Poaceae.
UAACAAAUAAAAUAAAGUGGCAGCAGCUGUAAUGUCUUGUGCUUCGCAAUAUCUUCCCUGUACUAGUGUAGUAUAUAGAAACCAAAUUUUUCCAAAAGAAAAAAAUCAAACGAAACAAUUGCAUAUUUCCAAGAGAACCAUAUAUGUACACGUCCUGGUCAUUACAACUCCGGCCCUUCAUUUCAAGGCUUUUCAAAUCCAAAUACUCGCAUUAGAUUGCAAUGAAGUGCAAGCUUAAACUAAUGCUUCUGUAUAUGGCGUAACGUGAUUAAUUGCAGCAGCUGGAGGGCGGGCUGGGCCCAGAUUUGGCGGCACGGAAUAUCUCCGCCACCACCCCGAGCCCGCUGUCCAGCCAUCCGCCGGCCCCGUCCCCCGCCAGCGGCCUCGCCGCCGCCGCGAGCACGCUCAGGAUCUGCACCAGGAACAGCACCAGCAGCGCCACCUUCGCCGACAUCGCCAUUGAUGGGAACUGCUGCCAAAGCUUGAGACGACGCGGAGGGAGAGACGAGCAGACCGAGAUCCUGGCUUGCGAGUCUCUGAUGAGCUCCAGUGCUAGCUGCUCCC